This 493-nucleotide ribosomal RNA is filed under the name uncultured bacterium. RNAcentral's name for it is "partial 16S ribosomal RNA". It matches the Rfam family "Bacterial small subunit ribosomal RNA", at positions 29 to 523 of the family's 1533-position model. The record is from RNAcentral.
AUUGAACGCUGGCGGCAUGCUUUACACAUGCAAGUCGAACGGUAACAGGUUAAGCUGACGAGUGGCGAACGGGUGAGUAAUGCAUCGGAACGUGCCCGGUCGUGGGGGAUAACGCAGCGAAAGCUGCGCUAAUACCGCAUACGAUCUGAGGAUGAAAGCGGGGGACCGUAAGGCCUCGCGCGAUCGGAGCGGCCGAUGUCAGGUUAGGUAGUUGGUGGGGUAAAGGCUCACCAAGCCGAAGAUCUGUAGCUGGUCUGAGAGGACGACCAGCCACACUGGGACUGAGACACUGCCCAGACUCCUACGGGAGGCAGCAGUGGGGAAUUUUGGACAAUGGGCGCAAGCCUGAUCCAGCAAUGCCGCGUGCAGGAAGAAGGCCUUCGGGUUGUAAACUGCUUUUGUACGGAGCGAAAAGGCUCUCUCUAAUACAGGGGGCUCAUGACGGUACCGUAAGAAUAAGCACCGGCUAACUACGUGCCAGCAGCCGCGGUAA